This 253-nucleotide ribosomal RNA is filed under the name uncultured bacterium. RNAcentral's name for it is "partial 16S ribosomal RNA". It matches the Rfam family "Bacterial small subunit ribosomal RNA", at positions 524 to 776 of the family's 1533-position model. The record is from RNAcentral.
UACGUAGGGUGCAAGCGUUGUCCGGAAUUAUUGGGCGUAAAGAGCUCGUAGGCGGUUUGUCGCGUCUGCUGUGAAAACUCAGGGCUUAACUCUGAGCUUGCAGUGGGUACGGGCGGACUAGAGUGCGGUAGGGGAGACUGGAAUUCCUGGUGUAGCGGUGAAAUGCGCAGAUAUCAGGAGGAACACCGGUGGCGAAGGCGGGUCUCUGGGCCGUAACUGACGCUGAGGAGCGAAAGCGUGGGGAGCAAACAGG